GGAUGUGAGAGUGAUCUUGCUGUGACAUCUGUCACCCUAUCAACUUUCAGGCUUGAUUCAGUGGAUCUGGCUGACGAUGUAGGUCUCUCCUUUCUUUUUCACCACUCUGUGUACAUUCCUCCUUAUAGAAGAUAAUGACCUUCCCAAAAUGGUGCGGGAUGUUUCAUUGGUUGAGGACAUAAACUCCACUACUAGAACCUCCAAGUAAGCGCUCAUCAAAGCAAGCUGGGCAAGCCAUGGAAGUCAAGCCAGUAAACAACUCCUCCAGGAUCUCUGCUUCAGUUCCUGCCUUCAGGUUCCU
Mus musculus (house mouse) is the source of this 301-nucleotide non-coding RNA. The record is from Rfam. Lineage: Eukaryota; Metazoa; Chordata; Mammalia; Rodentia; Muridae.